UUUUGGAAUCCAACAAGAGGACUGCAGUUGAGAGAAAAGCAGGGAUACACAUCACCAGAAGGUUGUGUUCCAGCAGUGGGGAAGCUUCAGGAAGCUGCUAGAAGCGUUCUACAUUGCAUUUUUCUCUGACCAGACUUCACGUGAGUGAUCAAAUGAGAGGCCAUUAUUUCUUGUAUUUCCGAGGAAGUAAUAUUUUUGCUACUUGUAAGUGACUAUUUGUAAUUUUUACUAUUAUAGUAAGCACCUAUCCAAUUAAUCUUGAUUUUUAAAUCUCUUUUAGUCUCUUGAACAAAUACGUUUACAAGAAAAAUCAGGUUUGUUUAGAUUCAUGGAAUGAUUUAGACUGGAAGGGACUUUGAAGGUCAUCUGGUCCAACCUCCUACUCAAAGCAGACCUAACCUACUAAGAUGGGUUGGUUUUCUAUUAAUUUUCUUUUUUUAUUUCAAUAACAGUAUUUUAUGGCAAUAGUUCUUGUUGAAGAGUUUAUUCUAAACCACUUUCCAUUUACUAUUUUCCCCUGUUAACUUUGCUGCUAUAAAUAUAUGCUGUAGUCACCUUUGGAAUCAACAAUCCCUGUUCACACUUUAUUCUCUUGCCUCUUGCAUUGACAAUGGCAAAGAAUAGAGACUAACCUGAAUAUGCAGAGUAAAUUUCCCAGUUUGGAAAAUGGGGUUUAUUAUCCCAUAUUCUGAAGAAUGACCAUACCUCAGUCCAGGCUUAUUGCUUUGAAGCUAAAGGAAAUUAAACCAUUCUUCUACCUUUAGGCCCCAAAGAAAAUGACUUCAUUUCCAUGUAUUUCCAGAGACGAUGAGCUGCUGAUCUAUGAUUCUUCUCAACUUAUAGGACAGCUGAACAAAAUGUAAAAACCAAAGGCCUGGCUUUGCUCUCAGCUGUUCUGGUAUAAUCCAAGCUCAGCUUCUCUGGUGUUAAUGAAUUUAUUCCAGUUUUACUGUGCUGUGAUCAAACCAGAAUAUAUUGUAUAGUUUGCAUGAAAGAAUUGGGCCAUUUUCUUCUGUUUUCAGAUGAUGAGCUGUCUGUUAGUUGGUCUGUAGCCUCCCUUUCUCACCCUUUCCCUAUUCUAUAAUUUAAAAAAAAAUGUGUAUUUGCAAAAGAACAUCGACAAACUCUACCUGAAAAACUGUCUUACACAGUCUUGCAAACUCUUGUUUUUUAAAGAGAAGUUCCCUGCAGAUCAUGAAACCUGGGAAGGAUCCUGUGGAGGAUUUGGCCAUGUUUAGAAAGCAUCCAGAGUAGCUAUGACAACUUCAUGUCCAGGGGCCAAGAUCGUGUCCACAUACCAAAUCUCUGACACUAUGCAAGAUCCUUAUCCAACCUAAAGAGGAAACUGUAAAAUUAGAAUUGCCUAAAAUAACCCCUAGAGAGACUAUUGCCAGUUCUUGAGAAGAGUUGGGGGGUUUUUUGACAUCUCAAAUACAGCUUUUUCUUAAAAUAUCUGAAACAGGAAACUUGUGAAAGAAAAGAAAAUAAUGAAAUGAAUAAGGUAUCCACAACCCUGGAAAAACAGGUUCCCAGCUAGGUCCUUUUUUUGUUAUUUGCUGUGAUUUCUUUAACCUUCUUUGAUCAGUUAAAUGGACUUGGAGUGUUAUAGAAGCCUCUGAAAUAUAUCAAUAUCAUUUUCUUGGGUUUAUAUUUGAAAUGAGAGUGGUAUCCAAGGUGAGUUUCAGCUCCCUCUGGUCUGGACGAACUGGGAUUAAUGCUGAGUGCAGCAAGGGAGGCUGAUCUCAGCACAGGGAGGUGAUCAGGGUCUGAUCCAUUACCUGGUCCAGGCAGUUCAGAUGCUGACUGUAUUUUUUUGAUAUUACAUGUGGAAGUGAAGCAUUCAACUGAUAGAAAUCUGCUUUUCCAUGCAAUGAAUAUGUUGGCUACAGCACCUGCAGCCUCGUGCUUUCUGGUAAAAGCUGAGCUCUGUGUUAAUUCUCUUAGUUAUUGAUUGGUAAUAUUGUUUCUGCUUCCUGUCUCUGCAGUGAGGUUUUUACAUCCUGCCUGUAGUUGAUCCCUUCCUGUUUCUCUGGGUAUGGCAAGGUUCUGCAAAGCAGGUUUUUAUAAAGGAAGAGAGACCUGCAAAAUGCAUUACUAAAGGUACUGAUUUAAAAAAACCAGGUGCACAAAUGAUGUUUGGGUUUAAGUAGCCAGGAUGAGGUUUUGAACAUUGGCUCAGGUAGAACCAAACUCAAACAUUUUAAUAAUGGUAUAUUAACAUAACUGCCUUAUGCAAAAUAUUUCUGGCUGCUUUUUAUGAAAGUAAACAGAAAGAGUGAUAUAUCUGGAUAAAGAGGAGCAGAUGGUAAUUUUUAUUAUUCCUCCCUUCCCCUUGCCUUUUACUUGCAUCCCAGUGAGGGAGAACUAAAAGACAAAAUCUCCUCUUCAGUGAAUUUGGAACAGAAACUUCAAAAUAGAUAUCCCAACUUAUGCCUUAAUGUUUGCCCUGGGGGGUCAUGCUCUUGAACGCUCUUCAUCCACUGGAUUAAUAAGGCCAAAGGAUUUUUGUCACUGAAAAAAAAUGUUCAGAUUUUACACGAGUUAAGGACUGCUUUGAUUUGUGAAAACUCAUUUUCAGUGUCUAAGUUCUUAUCCAGGAAGAACUCUCCACUGUGAUAAUGGUUAUCUGCAAGUCAGUUUUAACUUGGCACCCUUCACGUUUGGCAGCAGAUUUUAGCUUUACAUAACACUGAGUUAUUAUUAAUGUACCAUAUUGCAGAUUUUAUGAAGGAAUCAAGUUUUCAAGUGUUGGGGUUUUUUUUAAGUCAGGAAAUGCUACAAAUAGGCUUUUUACAGGCAUGCCACUUUACGCUCUACAUGUCCCGUGCAUUUCAUUAUAUUUCCCUUAAAAUAACAAUCCUUAGGUUAGUGCACAUAUUUAGUAAUCAAAGCCAUCUAUUAUACUGCCCGAAUACAAAAGGGUUCACUCCAUGUUUCAAGAUCUUUUUCAUUCUCCACAUUUAUAACGUGACCCGUGCUAAUAUUGCAUUGGCACUGGUGGGGUUUUUUUCAUUUGACAUAAGUCUAAGGAUGUCUGAGUGGUCCUGGUUCAAGGUGUCUGUCACAUGAGGUACAGAAUUUCUCUCAGUAAAGACUGCUUAGUUUUUAAAUUCAAGUGAUUCAGAAAAAGUACCUGUAAAAGGCUAAAAAGUAUUUAAGGGUGGUGGAGGAUGCACUUGGUGACAGGAGUUCAUACAGGGGUGGGUAAAGUGGUGUGAGCCUGGCAUGUAUAUAGGGAUGGCACUUAGUAAUUGCUUAUUCUGUUUGCCUUUUUAGUUGACUGAUGUUUUUAUCUGGCUCUCUGGAGUGAGGUAUGCUGGAUGUACUGUGGCUUUCCAAAAGGAAAUACUGAAGUAACCCACACGGAGCCAUAAGGAAAAUAAACUGUCAUUUCUAACACACGGCACAUGAAGAAAAGCCCUUUCACAUCACUUUGUUUCCUGCUCAAAGCUGUUUCUCAAACUGUGUAAGAUCUCCAGCUCACAUUAUUGUUCUGAGGGGCUUCAUACAAGAAGGGCGUUUUUUGCCUAGCAAGGCUAAUGAGGUCCUAUAGCAAAAAGAUACACAAUAUCAGUAAGGAAACAGCUAAUCUGACAUUAACGUUCAAUGUGUUCAUUCGUUUCUAAAGGCACGUUAAUUUGGUGUAACUUUUCUGUCCUUGUACUAGAAUAGAAAGUAGGACAUCUGUGAGUACAGUAAUUAAACAAGUCAACUAAACCCCAUUUUAACAAAAGGCUUGGCAUGGCCAUGUCCCUACAGGUGCUCUUUUUGUGCUUUCCAAAGCUGGGGUGGGUUCUGCUCUGUGUGCAUCACCAGCACGUGUCCCUCACACACCAGCCUUGUUAGUGCAGCAAUCGAGCACUGCUGUCACAGGAAAGGCCAUCAUGCAUUUCUGGUGUUCCUGGGAUCCAUCAGCACUGCCAGUCUCCCCACCUCCUUUGUGAGGACACAGAUUAAGGGGUUUUGUAGCUGGAGUUGAGGGGUGAGACAUCCUGUCGCUACAUGCAGAGGUAACGGAGCCUUUUAGGUCAGAGACGUCGCAGAUGUUUCUUUUAGGCCCACAUUAGAAACUUUUGCUCAUACACUGAUGUCAGCCUGGGUCUGAAAAAAACAUAAAUCCCACCUGCCCACUGGAGCUGAGCCAGCACAGUUCCUGGCGUGGACACAGCUGUGCUGCCAGGAAAAGGCUGCUGCCAGAUUAACCUGUUGGGUUCAGAGCCUGGUGCAACUCCAGUGGCACAAAAUCCCCUCUGGCAGUGCCCUUCCCUGCUGCAGAGCUGUGUGACACUCACAGGGACUGGGACUGCAGACAGAGGCUCCUCAGGGCAGCAGUUGAGAUGGGCCUGGUGUGAGAACAAAGGGGAGACAAAGACACUGAGAAAGUGUCUGAGAACACAGCAAAUCAUUGGCAGGUCUGAUAGGAGGUGUCCCUUUUGACUGCAGGAGCCCCUUUAAAAACUUCCCACUCCAUAAAUCCAUUUUUUCCCCCCUGGAAGCCACAUUUCCUCUGUGUGCCAGUUUCCACUGGCUGCAGGAACAUCUGCUGAUGGGACUAGGUUUGCUUUGCUUAGAAACACCCAGCAUUUAUUGCCCUUGCACUGGCAGCUAAAUGCUGAAGGGUCUGUCCCAGGACUGCUCUGGAUAGCAGAGAGGAGCUGGGUCUUCAGCCAGACCCUAGUGGGACAGUAAAUGCCUCUGGUUCUCAGCAGAUCCUACAGUAAGAACUCUCUCUGCCUGCUUCACAGUCCCAGCAAAAGGACUGCACAAACCCAUAACCCAGCAGUAUAUCAGGUUCAAAGUAUUUCUUCUGUCGUCACAUGCAUCUGCCUUAGGUUAUCAGCAAACCACAGAGAAUUACAGCAGCGAGGAAAUAUUCAAAGGUCAGCCCAGGAUCAGCCUGAGUGACAGGUGGUGAUGGGGUUUUUAUUAGGCUUUCUGUCUCUGGUACCUGUUGAUGUAGGAAUGGUUGAGUUCCUGGGAGCCAGCAGCUCCAGGACCCUUCAGUCUAUGGGGACUUGUUUAAUUACCCUUUCUUCCUGAGAUGAACAUGAGAAAGCUUGGAUGGGUUGCAGCAGCGGCAGAGAAGCAUGACUGUGAUGCUCUUUGACCAAAAUCAGUUGUCCAAAGCACUUCAGCAUGGAAAAAAUGUCACUGGACAACGAAAACAACAGGAAUUAGUGGAGUGAAGCUGCUGGAGAGGUGAUUGUUCACUGUUUUCUGCAGUAUGAGAAGUAGAGGGCAUCAAGUAGAGUUUAAAUUAGUCAAUACUUAAAAGAAUCUCUGGUUCCUGAGAUAAAUGGUUGUUUCAAUGAAAGUAUUAGAAUUAUUUUUGGUCGAAUAUCGGGAACUAGUCAUGCUAGUUAUUGACACUGUUAUCAAAGAGAUUUGAUAAUGUAGCUAUUUGAAAUCCAUACCUUAUAAGUGUGAAGUUCUGGCAUGACUGGAAUGAAAGUAUAGGUGAGUCAAGCACAGUAAUUUUGACCAAACUGUAGGCUACGGAAAGUUUGCAGUUUUCUAUUCCAACCAAAGACAAAAAAAUGUAAUAAUCCAAGUAUCAGAACUUCUAAACUAAUUUUCUGAAAAAUCAGGUGCUUCAGAACAAUAUCCAAGUCUUAAGAUACAGCAAUGGAACAGAACAUGUCAGUGGUUGUGUCUGUUGGGCAGAGCCUGGCAGGGCAGCAGGCACACCUGUCCUGAGAGCAGUGCUUGGGAAGGGGCAGGGCACAGCCCCUGCAUUCCCACCGUGGGCACAGCCCAGCACCAGCCUGGGGACAAUGGCAGCGCUCCUGUGAGCUCGGAGAGGCAGGAACCAACCACAGCACAACGGGAAACAGAUUUUUUCCAAGCUAGAAAAGCCUUUGCCCCCAAGUAUUUUUAACCCAAGUAUUUCAGAGCAUGUCAGACAAUUGAUCAGCAAUCUGUUGCUGAAGUGAUGUAUUUAUCUGAUGCGUGGUUUCACUUAGCAGCUACAACACGUACAGCAAAGAACUCAAAAAAAAAAUGAACUGGAACUCUAUGCAACAACUCUUAUUCAAAACAGAUGUAUUACUUGGUAUAUGUUUAACAUUCUCCUCAUAAUCCCAACUUGAUCCUUAACCAUCAUGCAUUAGAGUGUUGCUUUUAAAGAAGAUGAAAAUGGGCUGCUAAAAUGCUGCCCAUAUAAUCUGAAUUAUUUUCAGCCCUGUUGUUAAAGCUUAGAGAUAAAAUUCUCUUUUGAACUAAGGUUGAAGGCAUUGUGUUUGAUAUAUUGGUAUAAUUCCUGUAAUAUAAAUACUCAUAAAUUAAGUUAGUGGUAUGGUAUGAUUUCCUGUAAUCUGUUUCCAGAAUCAAUAUUUUAUUGAAUGAACUUCUUAUUUUAACUUCUCACUUACUGACCCAGUGGUGCAGCUGUAACGUGUGCUUGAUCACUCACUCUUUUAAAAUCAGAUCUGACUAUGCAGCAGCAUAGAUGUGGCACAGUUUUGGAAGAAUUGCACUUAAUAUUGUGUGGAUAGAGACUGAAAAUAGCACUAUCACACCCUAAUGUAGAUUCUCCCAUCUUAACAUCCUGUAGUACUUUAGAAAACGGCCGUGUAAUAUGAUCCCCAUUUUAUGGGCAGGAAAACUGAAGCCACGAUUAUUUCCUUCUUAAAGGAUGCUUAACUUUAAGCACCUCCCUAUAACAUCUACUUUUGUAAAUGUGGAUUUUAUUUUUAAGAAUCCUUUAUACGUAGCAAUUAUCAUUCAGCUAAUUACCCAAGAUUUAUUGCAAGCCUCUGCCAGUGAGCGUGUGACCUCAUGCAGAGCAAAAGGCUGUUUGUUCUGAGCAGGUGGAACUGUAUCACCCAUUGGGCCGUGCUGGGGGUGUUGACAAAGGCAGCAGCAGAUGAAGAUGCUCUGCAGUACUUUGGGGGCUGGGGUGGUCCAUUGGCACUUCUUUGGGGCAAUGCACAGUUCCUGUGCUGUGUCCCUCUCAGGAACACAAAAUCUGCCAGUAAUCAUCAUCAGUCCCUGCAGGUCUCCUGGGAGCCUCGGGUUCCUGCCGCAGAACCUGGUGCUGCAUCUCUAAGCUGCACAGCCAAGAAUGUGAUGAUUUCCCUCUCCUCAAAGAGUUCCUUGCUCCCUCUUUUCUUUACCCUUGCUUGUUCUGAGUCUGUGCUUUAUAGGCUACACCACAUUUAAACACACAGUGAUCCCACUGCGGGUUUUGGGGGUGGAGGAGGGAAUGUAGGAGUACUAACAGAAAAAUUGCUCUUUUUGUGGUGACCAGAGCAACUGUAUUAGAUGAAACUGCUCUUUGUUAUCAGUGUUUAAAAAGUAUUUUCUGAUGUGGUAAAAACUGUUAUAUGGAUGGAGUUCAAGAAGGCGGAGGGCAUGUGAAAGUUUAUUUUAUAAAGGGAAAACUGGAUUGUUUUGUAGUUAGGGGUUCUGUACCUAAAAUGUCUCUACAGAUUAAAUUUCCAAGUUCUUUGUUCUCAGACACUUUGUUUCAGAUGGGCAAAUGAAGAAUGAACAAUGAGGUUUAAGUCGAUGCCUUCAUAGAUGCAGUCUGAAUGCUCUGAUUUACACAACAUGGUCUGUAGGUUGAUGAUGCCACCAUAAGACUCCAAGACCUCACAAGUCUAAUCCUGAGAAAUCCCCUGUAGCCAGUGCACACUGACUUCAUAUGAGCGAGAUAUGAACCUGCCAUCCAGCUUCACUUUCCUCUGUGGAUUAGUCCAGACAUCACUCUUGAUGUUUCCAAGGAAUGUAACUCCACGAAGGCUGGUGUCAUUCUCCAGUGGAGUUUAAAAUGGAAUUUAGGAGAUCUGAUAUUCCCAAGGGCAGCCAUGUAGUGCUGCAGCAGGAGGGAAACAGACCUCCAAAACAUGCCACUGUAAGAAAAGAGCAAGGAAAAGCCCAGUCCUGGAAAAUGCACUGGCACUACAAAAAAGUGUGGAAGUCUGGGGAAACAAUGAAUUGGAGCUGAAUAAUAUUAUAUCAGUCCUGUAUGUUUUUAAUAAGUAGUUGGAAGGUCUUCCGUGAGGAGUUUCUGCUCAAUUUUAUCUCAGUCAGGGAUAGAAGUUGUUCAUUUGGUCCCAUAAAGAGCUGAACUUCCUGAGCAGGCACAUGUUGGAAGUUCUCUUACAUUGGCAUAGGAAGCUAUUUUUUUUUUGUAAAACAUUUCACAUUUAUGUUCUUCCAGAAUUAAAGGCACAGGGCCUGCUCCAGAGCCCUCUGCAGUCACUGAUAUCCUCACACUGACCUCUGGGAGCUUUAGGGCUCUCUUUUGGACCUCCUUCCCCCCACCUCCCCCAGCUAGCUGCCAUUUAUAUAACAGAGUUAAAAAUUCGGGGAACUCAAAGCACACAAAGAAUUUGCAGUUUGGGAUAGGAAGGGAAGGAUUCUGCAUCCAACCAAACCAAACCCUGUCUUCUCUGCCACUUGCUGCUAAGUAUGAGGAGAGUUUUCCAGCUCUGGGUGGGACUGACAGCUCAUUGCUGGGUUCCUGCUGCUCCCGGGAAACCACCAUUCAUCCAGCCUGCAAUCCGCAGAAUAAAGGAACCAGAUAAUCAGUGACACUCUCCUCUGUCCAUAUUUAAACAUUUAUGGCAUAGAUGUUGACAGAUGAUCUCAUCAUCUAAACUCCCUUUGUAGUUGACGGAAGGACAAAGACACUUCUGUCUCAUAUUUUUGCAAAUAAACAAAUGGAUAUACACAUAUACAAAUGUAAAGACUCACAAAGGUUAAUUUAAAUGGUAUCAUGACAAAACUUGAAGAAGAGAAUGAGACAUUCUUUCCUGACCUUUUUUUUUUCUCUUGUGCUUUGCCAAUUCAAAGGAAAGUCAGUGUGCUUUGUGCAGACAGAAGUGUAAAUCUUUUGAAAUUCCAGCAAGAAAUACAUACAGCAGAUAUAAAUACAAAUAAAAUUCAGGGUAGGUGACACCUUUCUGGAGUAGCUAUGACUGGAUAUUCUGUCUACAGCUAGCUGUUGUAUUAAGACUGUGGGAACAUCUACAGUGACAAAGCUGACACUUCAUUUUGGCCGCUUUAAUGAGGUGUUCAGUGUCCUGCUCCUCUGCUGGGCUUCUGCAUCACCAACCCAAAAGCUGCACCAUCACUAAUGCAGAGAGAGUCUUUUUCUGUCUCGUGUCCAGUCAAUCAGCUUUCCUCCUGUGCUUCAUCCUGCAGUCUCCCUCUGAGGCAGAGCUGCAACCUGAGGGUCACAGACCCCGGGGAGUUCUUUGUUUCCUGAGAAAAGAUGAAACUGCUGCUAUCUUUGAACAAAACCAUUUAUCUUAGUACAGAAACAGUGUCUUGUUCAUCCCCAAAAACUGAGCUGAAGAGAAGUCUCAGCCCUCCCUCAACACAUGCAAUUCUUCCUUCAUGAAGGUUGCAAAAACAUCUGUCCUGGCACAUCUGGGAUCACAAGGAGACUGAUUAAAAACCUGGAAGACAGACAUUUCCUAGUCUGAGCUUUCUGCCAUGGAAGCAGGCACCAUAAGGCAAACCUGACUGAUCUCUUGCAAAAAAACCCCCAAAACAACCCAAAACCACAAAGAAACCCCCCAAAGAUGGAAAAUGUCUUUGUAGUCCAUUGCUGUUCCCUCAUUGUUCCUGAACUGCUGGAGCUCUCUUGUGUCUCCUCGAGCUCAUGUCUCCUCGAGCUGCUGCAGAGAGGUUGGGAGGGGCCCCUGGACACCGGCAGGAGAAGAGCUCUGCGCUCAGGAGGUGUGUGCUGGCCGAUGGCAGCCCGGGCCAGUGCUCAGGAGGUGUGUGCUGGCUGAUGGCAGCCCGGGCCAGUGCUUACGAGGUGUGUGCUGGCCGAUGGCAGCCCGGGCCAGUGCUUACGAGGUGUGUGCUGGCCGAUGGCAGCCCGGGCCAGCGCUCAGGAGGUGUGUGCUGGCCGAUGGCAGCCCGGGCCAGUGCUCAGGAGGUGUGUGCUGGCCGAUGGCAGCCCGGGCAGCCUGCAGGCCGUGGUACAUCUGCCCCUGGGCUGGGGACUGGGCUGGGUGUUCGUGGUGACCCUGCCUGCUGUGGCAGCAGAGGGUGAGCAGUGAGAGGGAAGCCGAGCAGAACACACUGGCCUGUCCCUGCAGGAUGGGUGUCUCCAUGGGUGCAGCUGGGCUGCCCACCAUGGUCCUGUGCUGGGCAGGGGUGUGGGAGGGUCCCUGCACCCCACGGCUUCGCUGCACAGCUCCUGGGGGCACACCGAGUUGGGACUGAAAGCCAGGAAUUCCCUCUUCUUCCUCUUGUUGUGAUACAGAAAAGAUUUCACCAGUCCCGUCAAACAAGAAGAUCCAUUGGGGUAAUUAAAAACUACUCAUUUAACACAAACGUCUGGUGUUGCAGUAAACCGGCUGUUUUGUCCACAAAAACCUGACCAUGUUUUCAAUUAAGCCUUAUCCCCUUACUGAUGUUUUCAUAUUUGUGCUGCAUUUACAUAAAGUUUCCUGACAAAAUAUGUCUUUCCUCUCGCAUGUUUAUGUGUUUCAUGGUUCAGCACAUCUGUGGAAUUGUUUAGCUAUCAACAAAACUAACGCAAUACAAGAACUCUGAUCUUGCUGGGGCUUUCUCUCACCACUUGGAUAUUAUGUUGCAACUAUUCCUUCAGGUGGAGAAGACACACACUGAUCAGGACAGAGUCACAUGUGAACGAACCAGGUGAACUGGGAAAAAACUUGCAGUGGCUCAAUACAUAACAGCUGAUGAAAAGUUUGGGAGCAUCUUGGGCUCAGGGGUCAGUUGGCCUGGAACAGCCCACAUUUGCAAUAGUAAAUUCCUGGUUAAACAGGGUGUUUGCACUCAGAGUCUUGGUCUCACCUACAGGCAUUAGCCAUGGCUUCACUGCUGGUGGCCUUUCGGGACCUCUGAGGUGUGUUUUACUCACAAAUCAUUGUUUAUUUUAAACUCUGUGAUGGUUGAAGUGCAGCUUUGUGAGAAGAUAGGAAGUUUUUGGCAGCAAGUGUGCUGAAUUGCCUUUCUCUUUGAAAAGAGGUAGGCUGUUCACAGUGCUGUGUGGGAGGGGGACGAGAGGCAUAGGACCCAAGUUGGAACAAAUCAUGUUCGUGCUGGGUUUCAAACCCAGUUUUUGUAGCAAAGGGCAGUGGAAGAGGCUGGACUGAGGCUGAGCAGCCUCCAUGCUCAGAGGCUUGGAACACCCAGCUGAGCAACCUGCUGUGACCACACAGUUGUCCCUGCACUGAGCAGGAGGGUGGACUGAGGUCCCUCCCAACCUGAAUCGUUGUCUGUGGAGCAGGGAGUGAUCCUCUGGGACUCACUGAGGUUCCCCUGACUGUGUGCUCGGGUCAGGGCAGCGUCACUGAGGAGACAGCUGUUCUGCAGCAUCAGCCCUGCAGAAUGCCCAGAAAUGGAGAGGAAGUAUGUGCAGAUUUAAAAUGUUAAAACCACAAGUAUAAUAAAUUCUCAUUUAAUGUCAGUGAGUUAAUGCUGAGAAGGUAAAACAGAACAUCGGAUGUUCUUAUUUUCCCCAAAGCCCAGCUAACUUCACAGACAGAGAUUAUCAUAGGAGCAGUUUUUGAAUAACCCAUUUCAACAACAGGAUUUGUGGCUGGAUGUCAUUGUGGUAACAGUACUGCAGCUGCUCUUUCAACAGUUUGGCUCACACCUAUGCACUUCACCCAGCAGUUAAUAUACAUGCUUUGAGUGGUGUGGUGAUCAACACACACAAUUUCCUGGGUGGGCUGCAAAUCCCUAAGUAUGUAUUUUUUCAAGUCGUUGAAGUUUCUGAACAUUUUUGCAUAAUUGUUGUUUUUACUCUCUUUGUCAUCUUACGAUGUCUCAACACAAAUUAUUUGUUAGAAAGCCAAGAGCCAGGUGGAGUUCCUGGGGAAAAGGAACAACUAAAAAUACUUCUAUUCUGUAUUCAUUUAGUGGCAUUGUCUGAUACUGUAUUACACGAGAUCACUGAUCUAAUGGAGCUUGACAGUGUACAAGAACAUGAAGCAUGAGCCCAAACCUGCCCUAAGCUGUGACACCAGGCCCAGAAAGCACUGUGGAGCGAUAAUAUGCCAAUUAGAUGUGUCCCUUUGUGUUACUUGCAGGCAAUGGAAGACAAGCCUUUCCAUCCUCCCUUCCAGAUUCACCCUCUGUAACAGUUAUGAAUGAGAGGCUGAAACUGUGAAUUACUCAGUCUGUUCAUCAAGAACAGCAGGGCCAAAUUCUUCCCCCUACCUGGCACGAAGCUUUAUUUAUGAACUUGGUGGGAGCUUCUGGACUGCUCAGAGUAUCCCAGUCAGCCUGGUGUCAUCUGAAAACAGUUGUCACUCUUCCCAUUCUGAGACAGUACUGAUGAAAGGCAGCAGUGCUCCCCUGGAGGGGCUAUGUAGCUAUUAAGUAUUAGCCUAAAUGUGAAAAAUAAACAAGUAAUAACAAGUUUUAACCACCAAUAGCACAGGCUAAAUAUGAAAGAUUAGGCAAAGGAAAUGUUAAGUGUCUGGCUUUUCAGUCCUUCCUAUCAGGAUGAAAUUAAAUAUCUUUCUACUAAAAGAAGGCCUACCCAAAGACUGCUGAAAUCAGUGGAAAGACAUCCACUGCAGAGGGUUUCUAGAAAGGCCCACCAUUCUGAAGACAAUUGGCUCACACACAGCCAUUCCUUCCUGAUGGAUAUUUGCAGCUGGGGCUAAUAAUAGUAUUUAAAGUUCUUUCUAAUAAAUCUCUUGUCAUAUG
Long non-coding RNA from Chiroxiphia lanceolata (lance-tailed manakin), 12648 nucleotides. RefSeq lists it as uncharacterized. The transcript has 2 exons. The record is from RefSeq and is a predicted model, not a curated record. NCBI's taxonomy places the organism in Eukaryota, Metazoa, Chordata, Aves, Passeriformes, Pipridae.